GGCGAAAGCCUGAUCCAGCAAUGCCGCGUGAGUGAUGAAGGCCUUAGGGUUGUAAAGCUCUUUUACCCGGGAUGAUAAUGACAGUACCGGGAGAAUAAGCUCCGGCUAACUCCGUGCCAGCAGCCGCGGUAAUACGGAGGGAGCUAGCGUUGUUCGGAAUUACUGGGCGUAAAGCGCGCG
Molecule: ribosomal RNA, 180 nt
Filed under: uncultured bacterium
Lineage: Bacteria
Description: partial 16S ribosomal RNA
Rfam family: Bacterial small subunit ribosomal RNA
Source: RNAcentral